GCAGCAAUGGAGAAAGAUUGAUGUGGCGACCAAAUCCAAACCCUGGGAGCUGAACCGGCCGAGGAAAAGAAACGAAGGAGGAUAGAAGCUGAGGGAGGGAAGAAGAGACGAGAGAGCGAACGGGAGACGAGGGAGGGAACGAAUAAGGCUUUGGCUGAUCUGCUGCUGCUGUAAUUCUAGGCUGAUGAGGGAACCGACAGACCCAAUCAAGUUUUGUUGAGACGGAAUGAUUUUCAACAAACAAAUCUUGGCCGCUCUCAUUGGCAUGAAGGAGCUUACCUGCGAUUGAUGUGUGUUUUUGACGAACCUUUAUGUCGGGUAUGUAUGUGCAGUAUUAAAUUUGAUAUAUGAUUUGUUAUAUUAAUGAUAUUAAUAAUAUGCAAAUUUUGUAUUGUGCUUGAUACAAAUGUAACUUCUUUAUAAAAAUGUGCCUACGUACUGAAUUU
Lytechinus variegatus (green sea urchin) is the source of this 446-nucleotide long non-coding RNA. RefSeq lists it as uncharacterized. Lineage: Eukaryota; Metazoa; Echinodermata; Echinoidea; Temnopleuroida; Toxopneustidae. The transcript has 2 exons. The record is from RefSeq and is a predicted model, not a curated record.